This 497-nucleotide ribosomal RNA is filed under the name uncultured bacterium. RNAcentral describes it as "partial 16S ribosomal RNA". It matches the Rfam family "Bacterial small subunit ribosomal RNA", at positions 28 to 507 of the family's 1533-position model. The record is from RNAcentral.
GAUGAACGCUGGCGGCGUGCCUAAUACAUGCAAGUCGAGCGAACAGACGAGGAGCUUGUUCCUCUGACGUUAGCGGCGGACGGGUGAGUAACACGUGGAUAACCUACCUAUAAGACUGGGAUAACUUCGGGAAACCGGAGCUAAUACCGGAUAAUACAUUGAACCGCAUGGUUCAAUAGUGAAAGACGGUUUUGCUGUCACUUAUAGACGGAUCCGCGCCGCAUUAGCUAGUUGGUAAGGUAACGGCUUACCAAGGCAACGAUGCGUAGCCGACCUGAGAGGGUGAUCGGCCACACUGGAACUGAGACACGGUCCAGACUCCUACGGGAGGCAGCAGUAGGGAAUCUUCCGCAAUGGGCGAAAGCUUGACGGAGCAACGCCGCGUGAGUGAUGAAGGUCUUCGGAUCGUAAAACUCUGUUAUUAGGGAAGAACAAAUGUGUAAGUAACUAUGCACGUCUUGACGGUACCUAAUCAGAAAGCCACGGCUAACUACGUG